RNAcentral lists this long non-coding RNA (230 nucleotides) under Panax ginseng (ginseng). RNAcentral describes it as "long non-coding RNA (PGIN_LNC004169)". Lineage: Eukaryota; Viridiplantae; Streptophyta; Magnoliopsida; Apiales; Araliaceae. The record is from RNAcentral.
AAUUUUAUGCGCCCAAGGCGGACAGAGCAAACGAUAACAUCGUUCAUGUACAUGUAGUAUUGAUCAAUACAGGGUACAACAGGGCCGGUCACCCUCCGUACCCGUAAGUCAUGACGGUUUACAGAUGAAUUUCUGUUUAAACCUUUUCGAAAAUGAAAAACAAUGUUCAUGGUAUGUCACAGAAACCCCAUAUACAGUCAAUACGUAGUUUCCAAAGUCUGAAAGAGGGU